AGUGAACGCUGGCGGUAGGCCUAACACAUGCAAGUCGAACGGCAGCACAGUAGGAGCUUGCUCUUACGGGUGGCGAGUGGCGGACGGGUGAGGAAUACAUCGGAAUCUACUUUUUCGUGGGGGAUAACGUAGGGAAACUUACGCUAAUACCGCAUACGACCUACGGGUGAAAGCAGGGGAUCUUCGGACCUUGCGCGAUUGAAUGAGCCGAUGUCGGAUUAGCUAGUUGGCGGAGUAAAGGCCCACCAAGGCGACGAUCCGUAGCUGGUCUGAGAGGAUGAUCAGCCACACUGGAACUGAGACACGGUCCAGACUCCUACGGGAGGCAGCAGUGGGGAAUAUUGGACAAUGGGCGCAAGCCUGAUCCAGCCAUACCGCGUGGGUGAAGAAGGCCUUCGGGUUGUAAAGCCCUUUUGUUGGGAAAGAAAAGCAGCAGGUUAAUACCCCGCUGUUCUGACGGUACCCAAAGAAUAAGCACCGGCUAACUUCGUG
This 492-nucleotide ribosomal RNA is filed under the name uncultured bacterium. RNAcentral describes it as "partial 16S ribosomal RNA". It matches the Rfam family "Bacterial small subunit ribosomal RNA", at positions 29 to 507 of the family's 1533-position model. The record is from RNAcentral.